CAGGCCGUGUAGGCACUGACGAAGCGCCAGUGGGCAUGAUACGGUCCGUUGCCGGCGUCUGAGGCUUCCCUCGUUCCACCUUUCGUCUCCCCGCUAUGGAAUACCGUGAUUGAGUUCCAGCUUCCAGCCUCCAUACAGAAGUCACAGUGGAGAAUGAAGUGUGUUUACAGCAUACCGACAUGUGCUGAACAAUCCUAUAGGCAGAGGAGCACACAGGGAAUGAAAAGCAGAUGCUGCAACGUCACUGAUGAGUGCUGUGGGAUGGAAUUACGCAGGGUGGGAGGACUGUGAUGAAGAACUGAGGGACAAUGACUGGCCAGUUUAGCCAGAAGAGUCUUUUCCAGUAAAUACAUCUGAUCACCGGGGAUAGAGAAGCUUCAUGAGUCAGCCCUUUUAAGGAUAGGAACUGAUGACUGCGGAAAGUCGCAGUUGAUUUGUAUUCAUACAAUAUCCCAUUUAUAACAUAAAAUGUGAAGAUACUGAACAGAGUUACGAUACCAGGAAGCUUUGUCAUGAGGUCACGAGAGCACCGUAACUGCAGGCUAUAGGAAUAUAUG
Molecule: long non-coding RNA, 557 nt
Organism: Hyla sarda
Lineage: Eukaryota; Metazoa; Chordata; Amphibia; Anura; Hylidae
Exons: 3
Source: RefSeq, a predicted model, not a curated record